ACUUUAAGUAGUUUAUUUAAAAUAGCGAUUUGUGGUGUCGUUGAUGUAGUUUUACUGCCUUAGGUG
This 66-nucleotide transfer RNA is filed under the name Pseudolestes mirabilis. RNAcentral describes it as "tRNA-His". The record is from RNAcentral. Lineage: Eukaryota; Metazoa; Arthropoda; Insecta; Odonata; Pseudolestidae.